Molecule: non-coding RNA, 169 nt
Filed under: Perkinsus marinus ATCC 50983
Lineage: Eukaryota; Perkinsozoa; Perkinsida; Perkinsidae
Description: Eukaryotic small subunit ribosomal RNA
Rfam family: Eukaryotic small subunit ribosomal RNA
Source: Rfam by way of RNAcentral
CACCUGGUUGAUCCUGCCAGUAGUCAUAUGCUUGUCUCAAAGAUUAAGCCAUGCAUGUCUAAGUAUAAGCUUUAAACGGCGAAACUGCGAAUGGCUCAUUAAAACAGUUAUAGUUUAUUUGGUGAUCGAUUACUAUUUGGAUAACCGUAGUAAUUCUAGAGCUAAUACA